UCGACAACCGCUUAUCAAAAAUUGGCGCUGUUGCCGGGGAUUUGAUCUAACUAACGUAUUUUCCUUUUAUGACCAGGGCUGAUCGUAAAGAAGCUCUUCUUUAUGAUCCAGAAAUUGAACGCACUGCCAAGACCUUACAAGCAUGGCUACGGUAAGUAUGUCUUUUCUCUCUUCUCAAAUUUCUGAACUAACCUCUAUUGUGAGAAAUUAUGGUCAAGCUCGACAAGUUCAACAACUUCAACAAGCACAUGCAUUUGAAGGAUUCUAUGGACAGUCAAGACAUAAUCCCUACCUUGACACA
RNAcentral lists this long non-coding RNA (301 nucleotides) under Manihot esculenta (cassava). Its description in RNAcentral is "long non-coding RNA (MESC_LNC008049)". Lineage: Eukaryota; Viridiplantae; Streptophyta; Magnoliopsida; Malpighiales; Euphorbiaceae. The record is from RNAcentral.